UACAGAGGUCCCAAGCGUUGUUCGGAUUCACUGGGCGUAAAGGGUGCGCAGGUGGGUUGGCAAGUUCGAUGUGAAAGCCCCGGGCUUAACCCGGGAAUGGCAUUGGAAACUGCUGAUCUGGAGGAUCGGAGGGGGACUGGAAUUCUUGGUGUAGCAGUGAAAUGCGUAGAUAUCAAGAGGAACACCAGUGGCGAAGGCGAGUCCCUGGACGAUACCUGACACUGAGGCACGAAAGCCAAGGGAGCAAACAGG
This 252-nucleotide ribosomal RNA is filed under the name uncultured bacterium. Its description in RNAcentral is "partial 16S ribosomal RNA". It matches the Rfam family "Bacterial small subunit ribosomal RNA", at positions 524 to 776 of the family's 1533-position model. The record is from RNAcentral.